Molecule: ribosomal RNA, 253 nt
Filed under: uncultured bacterium
Lineage: Bacteria
Description: partial 16S ribosomal RNA
Rfam family: Bacterial small subunit ribosomal RNA
Source: RNAcentral
UACGAAGGGGGCUAGCGUUGCUCGGAAUCACUGGGCGUAAAGGGUGCGUAGGCGGGUCUUUAAGUCAGGGGUGAAAUCCUGGAGCUCAACUCCAGAACUGCCUUUGAUACUGAGAAGCUUGAGUCCGGGAGAGGUGAGUGGAACUGCGAGUGUAGAGGUGAAAUUCGUAGAUAUUCGCAAGAACACCAGUGGCGAAGGCGGCUCACUGGCCCGGUACUAACGCUGAGGUGCGAAAGCGUGGGGAGCAAACAGG